This is an unclassified non-coding RNA of Chlorocebus sabaeus (green monkey), 101 nucleotides long. Lineage: Eukaryota; Metazoa; Chordata; Mammalia; Primates; Cercopithecidae. The record is from Ensembl.
UCCCUUCCUCCCCCUCCCCCCCCCCCCGCCCCGACAAGCCUUUGGCAUCAUUAUCCUCAUCACUAAAUCCUACAGAGUACAGGGCGGAAAACGGUGCACAC